AGCUUCACACUGUUGCUACAUCUGUCCUGCAGAUGAGACAAAUUCUACAAAAGAGAAGACAACCUGAGUAGCUGCUUUCAUGACUGCACUGGAAGGCAGGAACAUUAGAGAUGAAGCAAUUCUCUGAUCAAGUCAACACAGGUGAACAUCUCAGAGGCCUGGUACAGUGAAUUACUGGACUUUUGGGAAAAAGAGAACUAGCACUGUAUUUUGAGAAGCAGCUGACUGUUACAGCCUCUUGCCAGACAGUCAUCAAAGCCUCACAAGGAAGGAUGAAGGAGCUUGGUUUCAUCACAUUAAGAUGUGUGGCACUGACACAUCAAUCAGGUACUAGCAUGAAAUUGUUCAGCAUAUUACAGAGACACUGGUGAAGCAUGAGACAAGGUAAAUUAGGAGGGCUGCUGAGUUCCAAACAUCUGCUAGCUGUGUCUAGCUUCUUGAUGGCUUCAUUGAGAAGCAUUACACAGUGCAAAAUGUCAUUGGGCCAUUGACAUCAGAGUUUACAAAGAACAAAGGAGGUGGCAUCUCCAAGGGAGUCAAGACAGAAGAACAGAAGUACCCAGGAACAACCCAGCUGAGUAUCAGUAAUAACAAAACAUUUUAGACACCAUAUGGCACUGUGUAAUCCUGAUGGACUGCAACAAAGCCCUUUUGUGAAGUUCAGUGGGUGUCAGACUGGGCCUGUAUAUCAUAAGCAGUAACACCCAAAACCAACUGUUAUUAACGCUCUAUUUAGCAGCACAAAUUUUCAUCUUCCUUUCUUCAGAAAUAGAAGAUACCUAACUCACAGGUAUAUUUUCAAG
Molecule: long non-coding RNA, 803 nt
Organism: Aquila chrysaetos chrysaetos
Lineage: Eukaryota; Metazoa; Chordata; Aves; Accipitriformes; Accipitridae
Exons: 4
Source: RefSeq, a predicted model, not a curated record